RNAcentral lists this ribosomal RNA (301 nucleotides) under uncultured bacterium. RNAcentral describes it as "partial 16S ribosomal RNA". It matches the Rfam family "Bacterial small subunit ribosomal RNA", at positions 509 to 807 of the family's 1533-position model. The record is from RNAcentral.
CAGUAGCCGCGGUAAUACGUAGGUGGCAAGCGUUGUCCGGAUUUACUGGGCGUAAAGCGAGCGCAGGCGGACUGUUAAGUAGGAAGUGAAAGGUCGGAGCUCAACUCCAACAUUGCUUCCUAUACUGGCAGUCUUGAGUAGCGGAGAGGAAGGGGGAACGACACGUGUAGCGGUGAAAUGCGUUGAUAUGUGUCGGAACACCCAUGGCGAAAGCACCCUUCUGGGCGCAAACUGACGCUCAGGUUCGAAAGCCAAGGUAGCGAACAGGAUUAGAUACCCCCGUAGUCCCUGUCUCUUAUAC